UACGUAGGGUGCGAGCGUUGUCCGGAAUUAUUGGGCGUAAAGAGCUUGUAGGCGGUUUGUCGCGUCUGCCGUGAAAAUUCGAGGCUCAACCUCGAACUUGCGGUGGGUACGGGCAGACUAGAGUGCGGUAGGGGAGAUUGGAAUUCCUGGUGUAGCGGUGGAAUGCGCAGAUAUCAGGAGGAACACCGAUGGCGAAGGCAGAUCUCUGGGCCGUAACUGACGCUGAGGAGCGAAAGCAUGGGGAGCGAACAGG
This 253-nucleotide ribosomal RNA is filed under the name uncultured bacterium. RNAcentral's name for it is "partial 16S ribosomal RNA". It matches the Rfam family "Bacterial small subunit ribosomal RNA", at positions 524 to 776 of the family's 1533-position model. The record is from RNAcentral.